Molecule: non-coding RNA, 1053 nt
Organism: Puma concolor (puma)
Lineage: Eukaryota; Metazoa; Chordata; Mammalia; Carnivora; Felidae
Source: RefSeq, a predicted model, not a curated record
UGGGGUGGCUGGGUGAAUGAAUGAUGGAUAUUGUUCUGGAGGUGACCUAAGCAGCCGGGAAUGUGGCAGCAGGGGGCUUUAAUGAGCCAUUCAUCAAUGACUCCUUCCUCCAACCCAAAGAGGUAAACCCUGUCUACUCUGGGGCAGUACUGAAUCCGAAGCAAACAUCUUAAGACAGAGCAACCAAGUGGCAUUCCAGUGGGCACAGUGAUGAUAAGGCUAAAAGCUGAAGCAAUCUGCCACAGUCACACAGCUGGGAGGCGUCAGGGUCAGGAUCCACACGUCUCCUAACCAACCUCAAGUCUGGCUGAGACUGCUUUCUGUUUCUGGUUGUUGCCGUGUCGGGCCCCACGUGAGGUACCUCACAUAUUUUCUCUCAUCCGAUCCACUCUAACGAAGACACAAAACCAAAUGCAGUCCCGGAGGCCCUUGGCCAAUGCCAUCCUCCGCCAGCACCAGAGGCCCAGCGCUGGGCCGCAGGGCAUUGAUGCUCAACUCCGUGAGGACAGCUGGCUACUGUGGCUGGAAGUGACCCAGGGGAGGACUUCUUAGGACCUUCCAGAGCACACAGCUUACAACAGGGCCAGCUUUUAGAUGGGACUCAACUGGCCUGCAGAGACGGCCUGGUCUUGGGGAGUGACAGUACCCUCCUUCUCAGAGGAUGGCUUGCGGGCAAUCAAUCUCUACCCCUAACACCAAGCAGAGGCACUGUCCCACAAGAGACAUUAAAACAAGUGAUGGGUGGAGAGGUGGCUGAUGGGCUGGCUAUUUGUCUGUUCAUUCAAUAGAUAUUUAUUUACUGAGCACCUGUAUCUGGCAGACCCUGUCCCAUGAUACAGCAGUGGACAAAACAGAUCCAGCCUCUGUUCUCAAGGCCCUCACAGUCUCACGGUGAGCAGAGAGAGCAAAGGUUGGUUCAGCCUAGAAGGAUAAGUAGAGGUAAUAGACAUGCCCCUAAGAGAGGGACCGAACCUUAGGCUGGAGGGGUCAGGUACGACUUCCCAACAAAGAGGAGUAUAAACUUAGAUCUAAAGAAUGAAAAAAAGGGGCGCC